AAGUAAGAAGCAAACCAUUGCAUUUAGUUUCGACCUAAAAAUCUGACCGACUGUCCUUAUUUU
Molecule: transfer RNA, 63 nt
Filed under: Morphostenophanes yunnanus
Lineage: Eukaryota; Metazoa; Arthropoda; Insecta; Coleoptera; Tenebrionidae
Description: tRNA-Arg
Source: RNAcentral